Molecule: long non-coding RNA, 2350 nt
Organism: Homo sapiens (human)
Lineage: Eukaryota; Metazoa; Chordata; Mammalia; Primates; Hominidae
Gene: LRRC77P
Product: leucine rich repeat containing 77, pseudogene
Source: Ensembl
AGACCCCCAAAAGAGGCUGCAGAUUCUUAGUGGACAGCUCUCAUAUCCCCUCCAGGGAAAAUGAUGAAAAAUGUCUUCAGAAAAAUAGCUUUAUGAAGGCAAGAGGACUUUUUGCACCUGCAAGACAUGUCUGAAAGCUCCUCAGGUCAAAACACAAGUAGUCAAGAGAUUUGUCCAUCUAAUUCAUCAUACUACUCUGAUCCAAGUGAGACCCACACUGGGUCAGCUCCAUCAAGGAGAAGAACAUUCCACCCACGUUUGGAUUCUGGAAUAUCAUCCUUGCUUCCAUCAGAUUCUUGUAAGUACCUCACUUGGCACAAGGUAGACAUGACGUUCAAGGAAGUCAACUGCGUUGCCCAAGAGUAAGAGAAGGAAUCUCUGAAGAAGAGCAACUUUUCAGACAGGUAGAGUGUGCCUUGCUCCCAAGGAAAAGAGUUCUUGAAAAAAACAAAUGGGAAACAUGGCUACAAGAAAACUGGGAAGACUGCAAGAAUUUGAACAUUUCAUUUCAGGGUUUGGGGGAUCCUUACCAAGUUGAAAAUUUUAACAGAAUUCUUAGAAGACUAAUUCGAGUUGAAACCCUCUGGUUAGUGGAUAAUUCACUGGUGGACUUAAGUGCCAUAAGAUUGCCAAGGCAAAAACAUGCUAACUGACAAGAAAAUCAUGGGUUUUAUACAAGGAUAACAAGUGCUGGGUUGCUUAGCUAUGAGGAAGGCUAGGCUCACUGCAUACCAGAAGAUGUACAGCGUUGGAGAAUUCAGGGAUUUUUAUCAACAAUCAAACUAUAUUUGUGGAAAUUUUGUGCAUAAGUGCCAAAGAUGGCUGACAUCGGACCACAUUCUAUUUAACUCAACUGAAUGACACCAAGCUCUCAUCCUAAAACUUAUAGUUACAUCCACCCUUCUGAAAUAUUUAAUUAUUCUCCAAUACACUGGAGGUAAUAGGUAUAAAAAGAAUGAGCAUGUGCAACUUAGUAUCUCAUAUCUAAUUUUGUGUCCCAAGUUCAUUCUUCCCCUGAAUGUCCCAUGUCUACCAGGUGCAGGAUUAUCUGGAUGGGUCAGUUCAAAACAAUUUCAGGGAAUAAAUUGUGUAGGGGACUCAAUUUUCUGAGACAGAAACAUAAUGUGAAUAACUCCUUUGUUAGAAAAUAAUUUCAGUGACAGAAAGCCUUUCAGUUCAUAAAGAAAACUUACAUAUCAACAAGCCUAGCUCCUCACUAGUCCCAGUGAAUGCUUACAUCAAUCAGCUCUACAAUAUCCAGUAAAGGACUUUCCAAUUCGCCUUUGAAUAAACUGAGGUAUUGGAAACAUCUAAGAAAAUGGUUUUUAAUUCUUCCUAAUCUUCAGGGAGUUCUUCCUUAUAUUGAGCUGAUAUCUGCCCUCUGUAACUUUCAACUAAUUAUUCAAAUCUCUCAAGUGAUUAUAAUUAAUUCCAUCUUAUAAGGAAUUUUUCUCAGCUUCCAGCCUCUUGAAAAUACUCUGAUAUUUUCUCUAAUAUUCAAGUGGAAAUGUAAAUGGGUAACGUAAGAGUCUGUGGGGUUAGGAGGGUGGAGGAAAGGUAAGGGAAAGCUAAUGAGAAAUAACCAAAGCAAGAAAAAGAAUUUUAUUUUCUUCAAGUUCUUUGUACAUCCAAAGUGGAAGAUUCCUAAAAUAAAUUCCCCAUACCACAUUUUAAAAAUUAGGUUAGCAAGCUUACUUUUUAAUUUAUUUAGAAGCCAACUACUUCCAUUUAUUAUUUCUUUCCAGAAUAGAACAAUUAUCACUAAUUGUUUGUCAUUAUAAUGCCAAACUAUGUUAAUAGAUGCCUAUUUUUUUAAAGGCUAAUUGCAAUCAUGAAACCAAAUAUCUAAUUAGUUUUAGAGCUUUGGACCACAUGCAUCAAUAUUUGAAUCAUUCAGGUGUAUAUUUGCUUUCUGCUUUUUUGUCUCUUCAAAAGAAGUAUUAUAUGCAUUCUGUUUAUAAUUUCUAAAUGGUCAUUUCAAAACUGAUUAUACGAGUUUAUACAAAUCAUACUGAAAUUUGUUGCUUAAAAAAUCUUCAUUUUUCUCUAAGCUCUCAGUGUCCUUGAGCUAUAUAUAUUUUAUGGCAAUUUUUACUUAAUAGUUUGUAUGCUAGUUAUUUUUGACAAUGACUACUAAAAUGCAAGUUUCUUCAAGGGCAGAUUCACCUUAGUUCUUCUUUAUACCCCUCAAAAACCUCAGGGUUAUUCUCAAUAAGUAUUGAGUAGGUGAGUGAACUUUGGAUGUAUACUCCUUGAAAUUAUAUUUCUGGAGCUGGAAAACUUUAAAAAAAUGUAUGUCAUGAGUCUAAAGAAAUAAACAUUAUAUGGCUGAAAAAAUACUUUGUGAAAA